Molecule: ribosomal RNA, 253 nt
Filed under: uncultured bacterium
Lineage: Bacteria
Description: partial 16S ribosomal RNA
Rfam family: Bacterial small subunit ribosomal RNA
Source: RNAcentral
GACGGAGGAUGCAAGCGUUAUCCGGAAUGAUUGGGCGUAAAGCGUUCGCAGGAGGCUGUUCAAGUCUGCUGUCAAAGACCGGGGCUUAACCCCAGAGAGGCAGUGGAAACUGAAUGGCUGGAGUGCAGAUCGUGUAGAGGGAAUUCCCAGUGUAGCGGUGAAAUGCGUAGAGAUUGGGAAGAACACCGGUGGCGAAAGCGCUCCGCUGGACUGCAACUGACACUGAGGGACGAAAGCUAGGGGAGCGAAAGGG